Molecule: ribosomal RNA, 466 nt
Filed under: uncultured bacterium
Lineage: Bacteria
Description: partial 16S ribosomal RNA
Rfam family: Bacterial small subunit ribosomal RNA
Source: RNAcentral
GAUGAACGCUGGCGGCGUGCUUAACACAUGCAAGUCGAACGGAAAGGCUCCUGCUUGCAGGGGUACUCGAGUGGCGAACGGGUGAGUAACACGUGGGUGAUCUGCCCUGCACUUCGGGAUAAGCCUGGGAAACUGGUUCUAAUACCGGAUAGGACGAUGGUUUGGAUGCCAUUGUGGAAAGUUUUUUCGGUGUGGGAUGAGCGCGCGGCCUAUCGGCUUGUUGGUGGGGUAGUGGUCUACCAAGGCAGAGACGGGUAGCCGGCCUGAGAGCGUGUACAGGGACAAUGCGACUGAGAGACGGAGCAGACUGGUACGGGGGGCAGUAGUGGAGAAUAUUGCACAACGAGCGCGAGUCUGAUGAAGAGACGCUGGGUUGGUGAUGACGGUCUUGUGGUGGUGAACUGCAUUCGGUAGGGACGAAGCUCAAGUGACGUUACCUGGAGAAGAAGCACCGGCUAACUACGUG